AACGAACGCUGGCGGCAUGCCUAACACAUGCAAGUCGAACGAGACCUUCGGGCCUAGUGGCGCACGGGUGCGUACCGCGUGGGAACUUGCACUUAGGUUCGGAAUCACUCCCCGUAAGGGGUGCUAAUACAGGUUAAUGUCAUAGGACCAAAGAUCUAUCGCCUUUGGAUGGGCCCGGGUUGGAUUAGCUGGUUGGUAGGGUAAAAGCCUAGCAAGGCGACGUUCCAUGGCUGGUGUGAGAGGAUGAUCAGGCACACUGGCACUGAGACACGGCCCAGUCCCGGACGGAGGGCUGCGGUGGGGAAUAUUGGGGAAGGGAGCAAAGUCUGAUACAGCAGCGCGGGGGGAGUGGGGAAUGCCUUAGGGAUGUAAAGCUCUUUUACCCGAGGUGAUAAUGACGGUACCGGGAGAAUAAGCACCGGCUAACUCCGUG
This 433-nucleotide ribosomal RNA is filed under the name uncultured bacterium. RNAcentral's name for it is "partial 16S ribosomal RNA". It matches the Rfam family "Bacterial small subunit ribosomal RNA", at positions 29 to 507 of the family's 1533-position model. The record is from RNAcentral.